Thalassophryne amazonica is the source of this 144-nucleotide long non-coding RNA. RefSeq lists it as uncharacterized. Lineage: Eukaryota; Metazoa; Chordata; Actinopteri; Batrachoidiformes; Batrachoididae. The transcript is spliced from 3 exons. The record is from RefSeq and is a predicted model, not a curated record.
AAGUUUGUGGACACUGAGCCCAUUUGAUGUACAUUUUGCUUUAUAUCUCAAUCAAAAUACCUCAAUCACUCAUUUUUGUGUUGUGGAUUUACCUACAUCAUCAAAAUUGGAUGGGAAUUUUAUGCCUGUUUGUCAAUCUUCCAG